CCUGCCCUACGAGAGGGGGGACGAACCAUUGGAAACGAUGGCUAAGACCCCGGAUGUUGGCUAUAGUUAGAGGGUAGCUAACUGAAGCUUAGGUGCUCUAGGAGGGGCUAGCGAGCUAUCAGCUAGUUGGGUGAGGUAAAGGCUCACCAAGGCGAAGACGGCUAGGGGGCGUGAGAGCGCGACCCCCCACAAUGGGACUGAGACACGGCCCAU
RNAcentral lists this ribosomal RNA (213 nucleotides) under uncultured bacterium. RNAcentral's name for it is "partial 16S ribosomal RNA". It matches the Rfam family "Bacterial small subunit ribosomal RNA", at positions 125 to 334 of the family's 1533-position model. The record is from RNAcentral.